RNAcentral lists this ribosomal RNA (484 nucleotides) under uncultured bacterium. RNAcentral describes it as "partial 16S ribosomal RNA". It matches the Rfam family "Bacterial small subunit ribosomal RNA", at positions 30 to 507 of the family's 1533-position model. The record is from RNAcentral.
AUUGAACGCUGGCGGCAGGCCUAACACAUGCACGUCACGCGGGUGAGGGGAGCUUGCUCCUGGAUUCAGCGGCGGACGGGUGAGUAAUGCCUAGGAAUCUGCCUGGUAGUGGGGGAUAACGUCCGGAAACGGGCGCUAAUCCCGCAUACCUCCUGUGGGAGAAAGAGGGGGAUCUUCGCACCUCACGCUAUCAGAUAAGCCUAGGUCGGAUUAGCUAGUUGGUGGGGUAAAGGCCUACCAAGGCGACGCUCCGUACCUGGUCUGAGAGGAUGAUCAGUCACACUGGAACUGAGACACGGUCCAGACUCCUACGGGAGGCAGCAGUGGGGAAUAUUGGACAAUGGGCGAAAGCCUGAUCCAGCCAUGCCGCGUGUGUGAAGAAGGUCUUCGGAUUGUAAAGCACUUUAAGUUGGGAGGAAGGGCAGUAAGUUAAUACCUUGCUGUUUUGACGUUACCAACAGAAUAAGCACCGGCUAACUUCGUG